Oncorhynchus masou masou (cherry salmon) is the source of this 379-nucleotide long non-coding RNA. RefSeq lists it as uncharacterized. The record is from RefSeq and is a predicted model, not a curated record. The transcript has 3 exons. Lineage: Eukaryota; Metazoa; Chordata; Actinopteri; Salmoniformes; Salmonidae.
GGGUGCGGGUGGCCCGGGUGAUGUCGGGGUCAUUUAUGACAUCACUGGAGAUGGCGGGAGUGUCUCUGUCAAUGAUGAGAGCAGACCAGGAGCUACUCCGACUGUUUGAUGCCAAGACCACAGCCUCUGCCUGGCCAAACCUCAGUACUGUGUGUAUCAGUGGGACGAGUUACAUUCUGGACCCUCCAGCGAAAGACAUGCAAGAGACCUCGCACACUGAAGGUCCUCUCAGUGAUGUGAUGAGGAAGGCUCUAGAAGCGGUGUGCUCUUCCCUUCUUCAACGCCAAGAGGAACUAAACUCACUGGACAGGGCAUCCGGGGACGGAGAUUGCGGGAACACUCAUGCCCAAGCUGCGAAAGGUGAAGACAUUAAUUGCAU